GACGAACGCUGGCGGCGUGCCUAAUACAUGCAAGUCGAACGAGAGCGACCGGUGCUUGCACUGGUCAAUCUAGUGGCGAACGGGUGAGUAACACGUGGGUAACCUGCCCAUCAGAGGGGGAUAACAUCCGGAAACGGAUGCUAAAACCGCAUAGGUCUUCGAACCGCAUGGUUUGAAGAGGAAAAGAGGCGCAAGCUUCUGCUGAUGGAUGGACCCGCGGUGCAUUAGCUAGUUGGUGAGGUAACGGCUCACCAAGGCCGUGAUGCAUAGCCGACCUGAGAGGGUGAUCGGCCACAUUGGGACUGAGACACGGCCCAAACUCCUACGGGAGGCAGCAGUAGGGAAUCUUCCGCAAUGGACGCAAGUCUGACGGAGCAACGCCGCGUGAGUGAAGAAGGUUUUCGGAUCGUAAAACUCUGUUGUUAGAGAAGAACAAGUGCUAGAGUAACUGUUAGCGCCCUGACGGUAUCUAACCAGAAAGCCACGGCUAACUACGUG
RNAcentral lists this ribosomal RNA (498 nucleotides) under uncultured bacterium. RNAcentral describes it as "partial 16S ribosomal RNA". It matches the Rfam family "Bacterial small subunit ribosomal RNA", at positions 28 to 507 of the family's 1533-position model. The record is from RNAcentral.